Molecule: ribosomal RNA, 253 nt
Filed under: uncultured bacterium
Lineage: Bacteria
Description: partial 16S ribosomal RNA
Rfam family: Bacterial small subunit ribosomal RNA
Source: RNAcentral
UACGGGGGGGGCAAGCGUUGUUCGGAAUUACUGGGCGUAAAGGGCGCGUAGGCGGCCUUCUAAGUCAGACGUGAAAUCCCUCGGCUCAACCGAGGAACUGCGUCUGAUACUGGAAGGCUUGAAUCCGGGAGAGGGAUGUGGAAUUCCAGGUGUAGCGGUGAAAUGCGUAGAUAUCUGGAGGAACACCGGUGGCGAAGGCGGGUCUCUGGGCAGUAACUGACGCUGAGGAGCGAAAGCGUGGGGAGCGAACAGG